Amphibalanus amphitrite is the source of this 328-nucleotide long non-coding RNA. RefSeq lists it as uncharacterized. The record is from RefSeq and is a predicted model, not a curated record. NCBI's taxonomy places the organism in Eukaryota, Metazoa, Arthropoda, Thecostraca, Balanomorpha, Balanidae. The transcript has 3 exons.
GCGAAAUAUGAGUUCUGUUUUUCCGUACGAAGGCAUAGUCAACACAAUGCAGUAUGCUGGGAGCACAAAACGAAGGCAUCCGUGGAAGGAACAGCAAUGCUGGGAGCAGGCUGUUCGCAGAAAGUGAUCAAGCGCGCAAGCCACCAGCCAGCUGACGCAGAGCCCAGAGGGCGUUCGCCACCAACAUCCGCACGGCGCAGCUGCAGAGAUGAUUUCUGCCAUGGAGCAGCAUCCGCGGCUCCAUAACAUCAUCCUUCCAUCAUUCUCCAUCAUCAUUCCCGGAGCUCACCCGGCGGCGGAGCCGGCGACGCCCGCGCCCCGCCUGGCC